GCCACUUUUAAUUUGAAAAUUAAUUUCCUCUUUUUUUUUUUUUUCUUUUUUUUUUUCUCCCAAGGUCUUCUUAAAUAUCUUUAGUAAAUUAAAACUAAGUAUUGCCAGCUCUACCAACAACUUUGCCUUUACGGAUAUUCCAUGAAUAACUUCUGCUUAACAGAAUAAAGUAAAAAAGUAAUAAGUUCAACUUCUCUUUCUCCCACUGUGCAGUCCACUCCCUUGCACAGAGUUCAGCUCUCGGUCCAGACCACCCACAUCAUGAAUGAAUGCUCUGAUCUUGCCUUCCAACCACCUGGAACUGGAUAACUGCCUUUUAAAAUAGACUACACCCUCUUUUACUUCCUAAUGUCUCAGAUUAAAAACUCCGUGGGAUACAGAAAUGUCCACAUUUUGGGAUUUGUGUCACAGUAUUGUCACAGGAAUUGUAAUUCACCACAGAUGAAAUAAUGCCAGCUAUGACAACUUUAUCUGGAGACAGAAAGAAAAAUAUUUUUUAAUGCAUCGGUACCUGUUUUAAUGUGCUUUAAGAUGCAGUUACGGCCCGCAGAAUGACUGUUACACAAAAUACUACGACGUAUCCCUCAGAUUCUACAAGACC
Molecule: long non-coding RNA, 601 nt
Organism: Grus americana (Whooping crane)
Lineage: Eukaryota; Metazoa; Chordata; Aves; Gruiformes; Gruidae
Exons: 3
Source: RefSeq, a predicted model, not a curated record